UCUCUGCAGACACCAGCCUGGUGUCCUCCUUCAUCCCAGGCUGCCAGGCUAGGCAGGGGACAGCGGCUGCCCUGGUCCUCACAGCCCUGGCUACGGGGCUGGUGACAGCCAGAUCCUCAUGCUUCUGCGACCUGAGCGCUGCCUUCAGACACCUCUCUGCUGGCGUGUUCCUGGGUCCAUGAUGGAAGAAGGAAAAGUAUUUUUAAAAGACAAUCUGAAGCUCAUACUGUGACUGCAACAUAAAAUGUGUUCACCUGAGGAGACUGCUUUCAUCGCCAGUGUGUCACAGGGCAGCUGAUCCAGGACCGUCCACUUCCAAGCCAGCAGGAGGAUGGAAAAGCAGAAUGGAGGGGAAACAACCUCCUUUGCAGGGCGUGACUCGGAAGUUGGACACAUCAUUUCCAGCCACAUUCCAUGGACCAGAAUUAGCCCUGUGACCAACUCUGGCUGCCAGAAAAUCUGGGAAAUACAGUCUCUGCUUGGGCGAUCAGGCAGGCAGUUAUAUCUUUGGGAACAUCUCUCACCCCCUGGGAACACCUGAGCAGAAACUGAAGGACAUUUAACAGAUUCUCCUUUGUGUCUAAUAAGAAUUGCCCCCAUCAGUCGGGGCUGUCCUAGGUGCUGGGUACAUAGGUCAUCUAUACACAACCCAGCAAUGGAGAGCACACCAUUCCCAGGCUGCAGAUGCAGAAACUGUGGCUCGGAGAGUUAAGCGUCUUGUUCAGAUUCAGUCAGCUGGUAGAUGGCAGGUCUGGGAUUGAGACCCAGGCCUGGCUGGUCCUGCCAGGACACAGUAUCACAGCUUUGACUGGGAGCUUCUUUUUGUUUACAUAUAUUUUUUAUGCUCAAUGUGCAUUCCUUUUGAAAUACACAGAAAAGGGAAAGAA
Molecule: long non-coding RNA, 887 nt
Filed under: Homo sapiens (human)
Lineage: Eukaryota; Metazoa; Chordata; Mammalia; Primates; Hominidae
Description: HSALNT0309449
Source: RNAcentral